Molecule: long non-coding RNA, 351 nt
Filed under: Medicago truncatula (barrel medic)
Lineage: Eukaryota; Viridiplantae; Streptophyta; Magnoliopsida; Fabales; Fabaceae
Description: long non-coding RNA (MTRU_LNC003452)
Source: RNAcentral
CAGUUGACCUUAAUAAAAUGUUUCUCAUGUUGAAUGUAAAUGUUUUAUGACUAUUUCGAUGAAAACGAAUUGAAGACUUAUAUUUAUACAAGCAACAAAUUUAGGAGUGUGUAUUAAUAAUUUAACAUAUAGUUUUCGUAUUCAACUUUGUAUUUGCCACAAGGACAAGGUAACUCCAAGAAGAAAGGUCGUGGAAGGUUUCAUGUGGUUUUGUUACUUUAGAUGUUAAAUUAUUGAAUUGAAUUUGCAUCAGUGGUUGUUGAUUAGUUGCCACAAAGUUGGAAUUGAAUAUGUUCAGUCAGCGUUGCCACUAAGGCUUUUGUGGACUUUUCACCUCCUUUGAUUAUUAUU